RNAcentral lists this ribosomal RNA (253 nucleotides) under uncultured bacterium. RNAcentral describes it as "partial 16S ribosomal RNA". It matches the Rfam family "Bacterial small subunit ribosomal RNA", at positions 524 to 776 of the family's 1533-position model. The record is from RNAcentral.
UACGUAGGUGGCGAGCGUUGUCCGGAUUUACUGGGCGUAAAGGGAGCGUAGGCGGACUUUUAAGUGAGAUGUGAAAUACUCGGGCUCAACUUGAGUGCUGCAUUUCAAACUGGAAGUCUAGAGUGCAGGAGAGGAGAAUGGAAUUCCUAGUGUAGCGGUGAAAUGCGUAGAGAUUAGGAAGAACACCAGUGGCGAAGGCGAUUCUCUGGACUGUAACCGACGCUGAGGCUCGAAAGCGUGGGGAGCAAACAGG